AGUUGACUCCAUUGAACACCUUCUAUCUUGGAAGGGCCAAUGAUUUAUUCUCAUAGGAAUAGAUGUCAGUUUUGAGUGUGAAUUUUCCUUUACUGUCCAGAGUCCUCAGCCAGAAUCACUAUCCAAGGGUUUAUAGAGUGCCUGAUCUAAGGCAUGGGACCCUAUACAGCAUAACAUCCAAAUAGCCGACUCAUUUCACAAUGAGGGAGGUGAGGAAAUGAACCUGUUACCAUGGGGUCCAUUAGUCCUAUGACAUAUGGUACCAUCUAGAAACUUCUAGAAUGGUAGAACAUUGGAAUGGCCUACUGAAAGCACAGCUGAAGUGACAGUUCAGAGCAACACUCCACAAAGAUGGAGACUACCACCAAGGACGUGGUGUUAUCAACUGAAUCAGAGACCUCUAUGUGAUACUGUGUCUGAGAACCAAUGGGUAGAUGCAGGAGUAGCUUUACUUACCGUCAUGCCCAAUAACCCACCAGAUGACUUUGGGCUACUGGUCCUUGCAACUCUGGACUCUGCAGGUUAGAGGUUCUCAUCCCCAGGGAACACAUUCUUGCUAGAAGGAGCAGCAAAGUUCCCACUAAACUGCAAGUUGUUGCUGCCACCUGGGCAUUUGAAUUCCUUGUGUCUUGGGACCAACAGGCAAGAAGUGGAGUCACUAACUUCAAGCAGAAUUAGUACCAGGAAUGCUGUUCCAAAGUCCGUGGUGUCUGUGCAUAUGGCAAAGCGCACACAAGUGAAGGCAUCCAUUUAUCUCCUCUACUCCAUCUGGACACCUGGAUGUCAGUUACAAAUACUAAUUGGUUGAAUGGCUUGUGUACUUUCUCUUACAAA
Molecule: long non-coding RNA, 834 nt
Organism: Acinonyx jubatus (cheetah)
Lineage: Eukaryota; Metazoa; Chordata; Mammalia; Carnivora; Felidae
Exons: 2
Source: RefSeq, a predicted model, not a curated record